RNAcentral lists this ribosomal RNA (407 nucleotides) under uncultured bacterium. RNAcentral's name for it is "partial 16S ribosomal RNA". It matches the Rfam family "Bacterial small subunit ribosomal RNA", at positions 30 to 526 of the family's 1533-position model. The record is from RNAcentral.
AUUGAACGCUAGCGGGAUGCCUUACACAUGCAAGUCGAACGGAGUGGCGAACGGGUGAGUAAUGUAUCGGAAUGUGCCCAGUAGCGGGGGCUAACUACGCGAAAGCGUAGCUAUUACCGCUUACUAUUGGAGCGGCAGCUAUCGGAUUAGCUUGAUGGGGGGGUAAUGGCUCACCAAGGCGACGAUCCGUAGCCGGUCUGAGAGGACGACCAGCAACACUGGGACUGAGACACGGCCCAGACUCCUACGGGAGGCAGCAGUGGGGAAUUUUGGACAAUGGGGGAAACCCUGAUCCAGCCAUCCCGCGUGUGCGAUGAAGGCCUUCGGGUUGUAAAGCACUUUUGGCAGGGAAGCGGUAUCUGCAGAAUAAGCACCGGCUAACUACGUGCCAGCAGCCGCGGUAAUAC